CCGAGCUAUACACCCCGGCAUUUUUUGCCAUCCUCCUGCCUCAACCUCCGGAGCCGGGGGAUUACUGGCAGGUGCUGCAGCACUCAGCUGGUUCUACCAUGUGCUGCUCACCUUGCUGUGCCACCUUGGCCCAGGAGUGCCUGAGGGCCCUUGGCAUCUGCUCUCAGCCCCUCUCCCCCACCCCAGCCUGCUCUGACCCCUAGGGUCUCCUCAUAUGUGAUCUAGGCGGGGUGACCUCUUUACAGGACCCAAGUUCGAGAGAGGCCAAGCUGCCUACUGCAUCUACGUGGAAGAGCACUCAAAAGUGAGCAUUUCAAGAAUGGGAUGGCAGGGGUGACUUCGUGCCUUGACCUCUGAGCGUCAAGACUGUGUGUGUAAGACGUAGGGUCAGCGUGCGAGACCCAGAAGGAGGAGGCUUCGCUCAUGGACAGGCAGGAAGCAGGGACCAGAGACUAGGGUCUUGUCCUGAUUUCUCACCUGCUUGUCCCCCACUGUCCCCCUGCUUGGACUCUGGGCAAGCCAGUGGCUUCGGCUCCUUUCCCAUGCGUUUGACCAGCAAGUGCCAGCCGCCUCUCACCCAACCACGAGAAAGGACGGGGGCUCAGCCAAUGGCCUCGAGGGUCCCCACGGGGCGCCAACUGCAACUGACUGACAGGAGCAAAGAGGGCAGUAGCCGUCACUGCAGUGGCCUAGGUGUGCUUCUAUGGCAGGGUGCUGCCCGGCUGCGAAGUCCUGUUUAUAAAAAAUGACAUGGACAGGAUCAGGUGGGUUAUCAAAUGAUACGCACAAUGUGAGCUUGAUUUGGGGAAAACAAAACUAAAGAAUGUUUGCAGAUGCAUUUUUUUUUUAAUUGGCAGGGCCGGGGCUGGGGGUGGCUCAGUGGGACAGUACUUCCUAGGUUCCAUCCCAGCCACAAAUUUUUUUUUUAAUUAAAACAAUUUUAACUCUGUGUAUUUUUUUUUUGUACUGGGGACUUCACUUAGGGGCACUCGCCCACUGAGCCACAUCCCAGCCCUAUUUUGUCUUUUAUUUAGAGACAGGGUCUCACUGAGUGGCUCAGCACCUCGCUUUUGCUGAGGCUGACUUUGAACUGUGGUCCUCCUGCCUCAGCCUCCAGAGCCGCCGGAAUCACAGGCGUGGGCCACCGCGCCUGCUUUGUGUUUUGUUCUUGCGUCUCUUUUUCAAACGCUUCAUCAAGAGCUGGCAUCGCUUCUUACCAGAGAGACACCAGGACAUCCCCUCCAUGUUGAGCUGCUGGGAAAGAGCAGGGAGCUCUUUCCCAGGGUGGGGUAGCCCCUGGGGGUCUAGGGGCCAGCCCGCCCUGACGGACCAAGCCUGUCCUGAUGCCCGUUAUGCCUGGCAUUGAUGGGCAUCGCAGCCCAC
This 1383-nucleotide long non-coding RNA is filed under the name Marmota monax (woodchuck). Lineage: Eukaryota; Metazoa; Chordata; Mammalia; Rodentia; Sciuridae. The record is from RNAcentral.